UACGGAGGCAGCAGUGGGGAAUAUUGCACAAUGGGCGAAAGCCUGAUGCAGCUAUGCCGCGUGUAUGAAGAAGGCCUUAGGGUUGUAAAGUACUUUCAUCGGGGAGGAAAAAACAAAACUAAUAAUUUUAUUUCUUGACGUUACCCGAAAAAGAAGCACCGGCUAACUCCGUGCCAGCAGCCGCGGUAAUACGGAGGGUGCUAGCGUUAAUCAGAAUUACUGGGCGUAAAGAGCACGUAGGUGGUUUUUUAAGUCAGAUUGUGAAAUCCCUGGGCUUAACCUGGAACUGCAUUUUGAAACUGAAAUACUAGAGUAUCGUAGAGGGAGGUAGAAUUCUAGGUGUAGCGGUGAAAUGCGUAGAUAUCUGGAGGAAUACCUGUGGCGAAAGCGGCCUCCUAAACGAAUACUGACACUGAGGUGCGAAAGCGUGGGGAGCGAAACAGGGAUUAGAUACCCGU
RNAcentral lists this ribosomal RNA (458 nucleotides) under uncultured bacterium. Its description in RNAcentral is "bacterial SSU rRNA". It matches the Rfam family "Bacterial small subunit ribosomal RNA", at positions 340 to 789 of the family's 1533-position model. The record is from RNAcentral.